AUGAAGCAAAGGUCUGCACCUACAUGUUAUCAGAAGUCAAGUCUUAGACAAGGUUUGUCAUUGUCCAUAGAUUCAAUCUUCCCCCCUUUCUCUAUUGACAUACUUCUAGGAGCUGCAAUGCUCAAAUUGCCACGGAUCUUAGACUGGUGUCAAGAUGCUAUUGAUAAGAUUUUGAAUUGCAUCAAACGGUUUCAGGUGUCCCUGGUUUUGUUAGCAUCAGGACAUGUUGACCUAAUUGUCCAUGGUUACACUCAUCUUCAAACGGCACAACUUGUUUUGCUGCACAUCUUCUCUUACCAUAUGAUGAACAGAACGACGGCGCCGACAUGGAUGACUCGGAGCUCAACCUUGUCAAGGGCCGCGAGCAGCGGCGACUUUCUUUUCCACGAGAAGAUGACCAAGGGCGCCAUCGGCCACUUUGUCUUCGCCGUCGAAGAGUCCAAGCUCGUCUCCGCAUCGGUUGCAUUGGUGCCGAUCAGGGGUAAUGACUUUUCUGUGCUGGAUCAACAUGCAGAACUUGCGCCCACCUUGAGGCCAUUAAUCCAGGGAAGGAAAUAUGGACACUGGAUGAGCCUGUUAUACAAUACAGUCGUGCACCUCUAUCGCGUCGAGAAGGACAGGAAUUCUCAGGAGAGUUUUCUCCCUUUCGCAGGAUACGCGAGACUGUGCGACGUCCGCUGGACAAAGCGGUUGGACUAUUUGAGACCGCUUGACAUGAUGUGGUUGGUCCGGCGCCGUUUUGCGGAUUGGUCUAGCAACAUAGAGAGGAAGCUGCAAAGAAGCUCCAAGUGGAUGUAG
This 798-nucleotide ribosomal RNA is filed under the name Triticum aestivum (bread wheat). RNAcentral describes it as "partial small subunit ribosomal RNA". The record is from RNAcentral. Lineage: Eukaryota; Viridiplantae; Streptophyta; Magnoliopsida; Poales; Poaceae.